Molecule: long non-coding RNA, 452 nt
Filed under: Medicago truncatula (barrel medic)
Lineage: Eukaryota; Viridiplantae; Streptophyta; Magnoliopsida; Fabales; Fabaceae
Description: long non-coding RNA (MTRU_LNC000005)
Source: RNAcentral
UUUCUACAUAAGCAAAUGAAGGUCUUGCUUGGCACGCAACACUCUUUAAGAAAUCUCAUAAUGUGGUCAAAAUACUAAAUCUAAUCUUAUAACAUUUAGGUGUAAGUUGAGUAAAAUGAAGGCAGUCAAGAUAAUCCUCCAUUCACUUAGCCACACUUAGUUGUCUAAUUAAAACAAUUCAAAAUACAAAGCCAAAACAUCAACAAUUUGAUCUAAAUAUGCAAUAGUGAGAAUGCUUUAGACAAUUUUAUUGGUGUGAUGCGUUAGACAAUUUAUUUGGAAGUAAAAUUAUUAUUAUGACAUGUUCAAUUAUCCUAUGUGCAUUGGACCUCUACCAAGUAAGGUGCAUAGUUAAUUUUUUUUCCCUAAGAAUGAAAUUCACAUUACUUGCAUUAUUCACAAUUUCCUUCUAGUCCAAUUUUGUCUCUCACACAAAAUAAUACGUAAAUUAG